RNAcentral lists this ribosomal RNA (2922 nucleotides) under Klebsiella pneumoniae subsp. pneumoniae. RNAcentral describes it as "bacterial LSU rRNA". It matches the Rfam family "Bacterial large subunit ribosomal RNA". Lineage: Bacteria; Pseudomonadati; Pseudomonadota; Gammaproteobacteria; Enterobacterales; Enterobacteriaceae. The record is from RNAcentral.
GGGUUGUGAGGUUAAGCGACUAAGCGUACACGGUGGAUGCCCUGGCAGUCAGAGGCGAUGAAGGACGUGCUAAUCUGCGAAAAGCGUCGGUAAGGUGAUAUGAACCGUUACAGCCGGCGAUGUCCGAAUGGGGAAACCCAGUGUGAUUCGUCACACUAUCGUUAACUGAAUACAUAGGUUAACGAGGCGAACCGGGGGAACUGAAACAUCUAAGUACCCCGAGGAAAAGAAAUCAACCGAGAUUCCCCCAGUAGCGGCGAGCGAACGGGGAGCAGCCCAGAGUCUGAAUCAGCUUGUGUGUUAGUGGAACGGUCUGGAAAGUCCGACGGUACAGGGUGAUAGUCCCGUACACCAAAAUGCACAGGCUGUGAACUCGAAGAGUAGGGCGGGACACGUGGUAUCCUGUCUGAAUAUGGGGGGACCAUCCUCCAAGGCUAAAUACUCCUGACUGACCGAUAGUGAACCAGUACCGUGAGGGAAAGGCGAAAAGAACCCCGGCGAGGGGAGUGAAAAAGAACCUGAAACCGUGUACGUACAAGCAGUGGGAGCACCUUCGGGUGUGACUGCGUACCUUUUGUAUAAUGGGUCAGCGACUUAUAUUCUGUAGCAAGGUUAACCGUAUAGGGGAGCCGCAGGGAAACCGAGUCUUAACUGGGCGUUAAGUUGCAGGGUAUAGACCCGAAACCCGGUGAUCUAGCCAUGGGCAGGUUGAAGGUUGGGUAACACUAACUGGAGGACCGAACCGACUAAUGUUGAAAAAUUAGCGGAUGACUUGUGGCUGGGGGUGAAAGGCCAAUCAAACCGGGAGAUAGCUGGUUCUCCCCGAAAGCUAUUUAGGUAGCGCCUCGUGAAUUCAUCUUCGGGGGUAGAGCACUGUUUCGGCUAGGGGGUCAUCCCGACUUACCAACCCGAUGCAAACUACGAAUACCGAAGAAUGUUAUCACGGGAGACACACGGCGGGUGCUAACGUCCGUCGUGAAGAGGGAAACAACCCAGACCGCCAGCUAAGGUCCCAAAGUCAUGGUUAAGUGGGAAACGAUGUGGGAAGGCACAGACAGCCAGGAUGUUGGCUUAGAAGCAGCCAUCAUUUAAAGAAAGCGUAAUAGCUCACUGGUCGAGUCGGCCUGCGCGGAAGAUGUAACGGGGCUAAACCAUGCACCGAAGCUGCGGCAGCGACACUAUGUGUUGUUGGGUAGGGGAGCGUUCUGUAAGCCUGCGAAGGUGACCUGUGAGGGUUGCUGGAGGUAUCAGAAGUGCGAAUGCUGACAUAAGUAACGAUAAAGCGGGUGAAAAGCCCGCUCGCCGGAAGACCAAGGGUUCCUGUCCAACGUUAAUCGGGGCAGGGUGAGUCGACCCCUAAGGCGAGGCCGAAAGGCGUAGUCGAUGGGAAACAGGUUAAUAUUCCUGUACUUGGUGUUACUGCGAAGGGGGACGGAGAAGGCUAUGUUAGCCGGGCGACGGUUGUCCCGGUUUAAGCAUGUAGGCUGGUUAUCCAGGCAAAUCCGGAUAAUCAAGGCUGAGGUGUGAUGACGAGGCACUACGGUGCUGAAGUAACAAAUGCCCUGCUUCCAGGAAAAGCCUCUAAGCAUCAGGUAACAUCAAAUCGUACCCCAAACCGACACAGGUGGUCAGGUAGAGAAUACCAAGGCGCUUGAGAGAACUCGGGUGAAGGAACUAGGCAAAAUGGUGCCGUAACUUCGGGAGAAGGCACGCUGGUGUGUAGGUGAAGUCCCUGCGGAUGGAGCUGAGACCAGUCGAAGAUACCAGCUGGCUGCAACUGUUUAUUAAAAACACAGCACUGUGCAAACACGAAAGUGGACGUAUACGGUGUGACGCCUGCCCGGUGCCGGAAGGUUAAUUGAUGGGGUUAUCCGUAAGGAGAAGCUCUUGAUCGAAGCCCCGGUAAACGGCGGCCGUAACUAUAACGGUCCUAAGGUAGCGAAAUUCCUUGUCGGGUAAGUUCCGACCUGCACGAAUGGCGUAAUGAUGGCCAGGCUGUCUCCACCCGAGACUCAGUGAAAUUGAACUCGCUGUGAAGAUGCAGUGUACCCGCGGCAAGACGGAAAGACCCCGUGAACCUUUACUAUAGCUUGACACUGAACAUUGAGCCUUGAUGUGUAGGAUAGGUGGGAGGCUUUGAAGCGUGGACGCCAGUCUGCGUGGAGCCAACCUUGAAAUACCACCCUUUAAUGUUUGAUGUUCUAACGUUGGCCCCUUACCGGGGUUGCGGACAGUGUCUGGUGGGUAGUUUGACUGGGGCGGUCUCCUCCCAAAGCGUAACGGAGGAGCACGAAGGUUAGCUAAUCCUGGUCGGACAUCAGGAGGUUAGUGCAAUGGCAUAAGCUAGCUUGACUGCGAGCGUGACGGCGCGAGCAGGUGCGAAAGCAGGUCAUAGUGAUCCGGUGGUUCUGAAUGGAAGGGCCAUCGCUCAACGGAUAAAAGGUACUCCGGGGAUAACAGGCUGAUACCGCCCAAGAGUUCAUAUCGACGGCGGUGUUUGGCACCUCGAUGUCGGCUCAUCACAUCCUGGGGCUGAAGUAGGUCCCAAGGGUAUGGCUGUUCGCCAUUUAAAGUGGUACGCGAGCUGGGUUUAGAACGUCGUGAGACAGUUCGGUCCCUAUCUGCCGUGGGCGCUGGAGAAUUGAGGGGGGCUGCUCCUAGUACGAGAGGACCGGAGUGGACGCAUCACUGGUGUUCGGGUUGUCAUGCCAAUGGCACUGCCCGGUAGCUAAAUGCGGAAGAGAUAAGUGCUGAAAGCAUCUAAGCACGAAACUUGCCCCGAGAUGAGUUCUCCCUGAGACUUUAAGUCUCCUGAAGGAACGUUAAAGACGAUGACGUUGAUAGGCCGGGUGUGUAAGCGCAGCGAUGCGUUGAGCUAACCGGUACUAAUGAACCGUGAGGCUUAACCUUACAACGCCGAAG